GACCUCAACUCAAGCAAGAUUACCCGCUGAACUUAAGCAUAUCAAUAAGCGGAGGAAAAGAAACUAACAAGGAUUCCCUUAGUAACGGCGAGUGAAGUGGGAAAAGCUCAAAUUUUAAAUCUACCUGGUUUCCAGGUCGAAUUGUAAUUUGAAGAAGCGUUUUCGGUGUUUCGAUCUGGUUGAAGUUCUUUGGAACAAGACAUCAUGGAGGGUGAGAAUCCCGUGCAUGAUCAGAUCGAGAUACUCCAGAUACGCUCUCUAAGAGUCGAGUUGUUUGGGAAUGCAGCUCAAAAUGGGUGGUAGACUUCACCUAAGGCUAAAUAUCAGCGAGAGACCGAUAGCGAACAAGUACCGUGAGGGAAAGAUGAAAAGAACUUUGAAAAGAGAGUUAAAUAGUACGUGAAAUUGUUGAAAGGGAAACGAUUGAAGUCAGUCGUGCCGUUGAGAAAUCAACUUAGCGAGUUUCAGUUUUUGAAUCUUUGAUAGGGUCAAACCAUCACGGUUUUUAAAUUGGGACUUGUUGGGUGUACUUUCUUUUUGGCAGGUCAGCGUCGAUUUUGGGGGUUGUAAAAUGACUGGGGGAAUGUAGCUCCCUUCGGGGAGUGUUAUAGACCCUGGGGGAUGCAGCCCGCGGGAUCGAGGAUUGCAGCAAAUGCUUCAGCUUGUCGUCUAUCCGUUAAACGUUACCCUGCUUGUGACAAUAUUCUUGACACUUUGUGGGACUUGACGGUUAUAGGUUAGAACGUUCUAAAAUUUGCUAAGGAUGCUGACGUAAUGGCUUUAAACGACCCGUCUUGAAACACGGACCAAGGAGUCUAACAUAUGUGCGAGUGUUU
Molecule: ribosomal RNA, 836 nt
Filed under: uncultured Glomeraceae
Lineage: Eukaryota; Fungi; Glomeromycota; Glomeromycetes; Glomerales; Glomeraceae
Description: eukaryotic LSU rRNA
Rfam family: Eukaryotic large subunit ribosomal RNA
Source: RNAcentral